Molecule: transfer RNA, 77 nt
Filed under: Methanobacteriota archaeon
Lineage: Archaea; Methanobacteriati; Methanobacteriota
Description: Euryarchaeota archaeon tRNA-Lys
Rfam family: tRNA
About the family: Transfer RNA (tRNA) molecules are approximately 80 nucleotides in length. Their secondary structure includes four short double-helical elements and three loops (D, anti-codon, and T loops).
Source: RNAcentral
GGGCUCGUAGCUCAGUCUGGUAGAGCGAUAGGCUCUUAACCUAUUGGUCGGGGGUUCAAAUCCCCUCGAGCCCGCCA